Molecule: long non-coding RNA, 953 nt
Organism: Armigeres subalbatus
Lineage: Eukaryota; Metazoa; Arthropoda; Insecta; Diptera; Culicidae
Exons: 2
Source: RefSeq, a predicted model, not a curated record
UAUUAAUUAACUUUAUUAUGGUAAUUUAACUUAAAUAAAAUAAAACUAGAACUAAGCAUGAAUUGAACUGAACUUAAAAUAAUAAUUGAAUUUGAAAUAAUACAAAUAUAUAAAUAUCGAUAACCUUACCCACCUGAACACCCCCAUUCCCCGAUCAACACUGCACCCGUUCUCAUCAAGCCACAGUAAACCAUAACUACCGUGCACGCUCCCACACACUGAGAGCGCACCCCAUAAAACCGGCUGUCAUCGCUGGAAAAUUGAUCAGAAGGAAAUAAAGUUGACCCGUGCCAAAGUGUGAAGUGGUAAAGUGCGCCAUUCGAUUAGAACCAGAAUAACGUUACCCGCUGGUGAGCCUAUCACUGGAGUGCGACAUCAUUUGUGUCCGGAAGAAGAAACCGUCGGGAGAGUGAAGAAGAAGCCGCCAUCGAGCGAAACUCGUGUGGAAUCCGGCAAAUCAGUGCUUUCGAAAAAAAAACCGUUUUGCUUCGUCCGGUUAGUUGCCGCUCCGGAAAAGAGGACCCGGCUGGCGCGCCACGUUUUCGACAGAUCCGUCUGUGCUUCGUGCAGGCAGUUGCCCCAAGAGCCGGCUGGCACGCCACGUUUUCGACCAUCGAUCUGUGAGUAAAGGCAAGCGUCCGAGUAAUGAAGGAAGACACUAGGCUCAUGUGUUCAGCACACCGCCAUCGCUUAACCCGGAGGUCACCGUGUCACGGAUCGCCCAGAGACUCCAUCCACCGUCAGAUGCACUGAUAAUUGCCAGGAGGAUUAUUCCGCAAUGCCUACAGAUAGCUACGAUGCGCACCCUUAUCCUCGCCACGGACUGGACCCAGGGCUGAAACACUCAAAGUGGUCACCGUGUGGCGGGAGGUGCGCAGCUUCGGGUGCUGCAGGUGGCAUCUUAUGCGUGACAAAAAUACUAUAGAAGUAAUAAAAUGAAAAGAAUAAGCUAA